Molecule: ribosomal RNA, 420 nt
Filed under: uncultured Shigella sp.
Lineage: Bacteria; Pseudomonadati; Pseudomonadota; Gammaproteobacteria; Enterobacterales; Enterobacteriaceae
Description: bacterial SSU rRNA
Rfam family: Bacterial small subunit ribosomal RNA
Source: RNAcentral
CCUACGGGAGGCAGCAGUGGGGAAUAUUGCACAAUGGGCGCAAGCCUGAUGCAGCCAUGCCGCGUGUAUGAAGAAGGCCUUCGGGUUGUAAAGUACUUUCAGCGGGGAGGAAGGGAGUAAAGUUAAUACCUUUGCUCAUUGACGUUACCCGCAGAAGAAGCACCGGCUAACUCCGUGCCAGCAGCCGCGGUAAUACGGAGGGUGCAAGCGUUAAUCGGAAUUACUGGGCGUAAAGCGCACGCAGGCGGUUUGUUAAGUCAGAUGUGAAAUCCCCGGGCUCAACCUGGGAACUGCAUCUGAUACUGGCAAGCUUGAGUCUCGUAGAGGGGGGUAGAAUUCCAGGUGUAGCGGUGAAAUGCGUAGAGAUCUGGAGGAAUACCGGUGGCGAAGGCGGCCCCCUGGACGAAGACUGACGCUCAG